This 868-nucleotide long non-coding RNA is filed under the name Meleagris gallopavo (turkey). Its description in RNAcentral is "lncRNA (ENSMGAG00000020332.1)". The record is from RNAcentral. Lineage: Eukaryota; Metazoa; Chordata; Aves; Galliformes; Phasianidae.
AUGAAACUCCUUCACCACAAAAAUUACCUGAAAAUUACAGCGAGAAGAUCUGAGGGGCCCCAAAAUACCACCAAACUAUUAUGGGUGAAUUGCACGUUGCCCUUUAUGAGAAUGCAUCCUUCAGAGCAGAAAAUAAAAUUAAGAAAAUCUAAAAUUUUAAAAGAGGACAAAAGCUCACUGUUCCUGGAGUGUUGUGAGAAAGCACCAGAAGCUGAGCUGAUGUUGGAACUAUACUGCCAAAGGAAGCAUAUUGCCUUCCCUUGGCAGCUGUACUGUACUACUGCAGUUUCUGGUAGCCUGUUUGUGACACGCGCUGGCAGCAACAACAUUAGAACUGUUCUCCUUGAAUGACCAUCUCAGGAAUACCUAUUAACUCGCACCUACAAACAAGUUUUAUUAAUGUCCAAAAGCAACCAUUCACAAACCAAGAAAAUCAGAAAUGCACGUUUGCAUUUUAGUUGUCUGAUUCCAAGGAUGCUUUACCCUGAGUGAGUAACAUUAAUAGAAUUAUAUAUGUCUGAUUUGCAUAUAACUUUUUUUUUCCCAUCUAUACCAUUUCUAUUGCACUGGAGAAUUACUUACCUCAAUUUUAUCUCCAAUUUUGGCUUCUGAUCCUUUCCUCCCAUCCUUGCCACUUUUCCUUUUCUAGAAACUUUCAUAUUCUCUUUUUCCUGUAUGUCUUCUGUUACUCUCUAAUCAUAGACUAUUUAUCUACUAUAAUCUUGAAGAAAAAUUCCCCUUUUCAUUCCUCAUUCUUUCAUGAAGGAUAUAUUCUUCCUUGUUUCUUACAAAGGGGUGGGACCCAGAUUUUCAAAACAGGUGUUCAGGCUCUUCCAAAGAAGCUUAGAAGAACAAAAGGUCAAAUUCA